AAGUCGUAACAAGGUAACCGUAGGUGAACCUGCGGUUGGAUCAUUAAAAAAAUCCAAAUAGCCUGUCAGUGGCGCUCGCCGCUGAUUUCAUGGCACCACAUUUUGUGAACCGUUCUGUCUUUGGUGGUGGGGUGAAACGCCCUUCAUUCGGGCCUUUGCCUGUCAGCUGUGACUUACAACAAAGUCCUCCAGCCGUGGACAAGCCACCGACCUUGUGUUUCAACCUAUGUUUAUUUUUUUCUGUCUGACACUUCCACCUUGUAUUUUAAUGUACAAACAACUUUUGGCAACGGAUCUCUUGGGUCUCGCAACGAUGAAGAACGCAGCGAAAUGCGAUAAGUAGUGUGAAUUGCAGAGUUCAGUGAAUCAUCGAAUCUUUGAACGCACAUUGCGCUCCCUGGUAUUCCGGAGAGCACGCCCGUUCCAGAAUCAGUAAAAACCUCACUCCAGCUUGGGUGUUUUCGGACCCGAAGCGAGGGUGGAACCUGGAUUUUUGCUUUUGGCAAUCAUCUCAAAUCCAAUGUAUGUACGCCGAGGCUUGGUCUUUGCGUUGUCAAAGUGCAACAGAUUUUUGUCGCCGCUUGGACAAUGGAAGGAACGCCUCCUCGAUGGGCAUGCUUCUACCUUUCGACACGGUUUCCGGAUCGGUAUGAUCCGGUUUCCGAUAACUUGAUCUGGAAUCGGGCGGGAAAACCCGCUGAACUUA
RNAcentral lists this ribosomal RNA (706 nucleotides) under uncultured fungus. RNAcentral's name for it is "eukaryotic LSU rRNA". The stretch from base 279 to 432 matches the Rfam family "5.8S ribosomal RNA". The record is from RNAcentral. Lineage: Eukaryota; Fungi.